This 488-nucleotide ribosomal RNA is filed under the name uncultured Rhodoferax sp. Its description in RNAcentral is "bacterial SSU rRNA". It matches the Rfam family "Bacterial small subunit ribosomal RNA", at positions 8 to 489 of the family's 1533-position model. Lineage: Bacteria; Pseudomonadati; Pseudomonadota; Betaproteobacteria; Burkholderiales; Comamonadaceae. The record is from RNAcentral.
AGAGUUUGAUCAUGGCUCAGAUUGAACGCUGGCGGCAUGCCUUACACAUGCAAGUCGAACGGCAGCACGGGAGCAAUCCUGGUGGCGAGUGGCGAACGGGUGAGUAAUAUAUCGGAACGUGCCCAGUCGUGGGGGAUAACGCAGCGAAAGCUGUGCUAAUACCGCAUACGAUCUCUGGAUGAAAGCGGGGGACCUGUAAGGGCCUCGCGCGAUUGGAGCGGCCGAUAUCAGAUUAGCUAGUUGGUGGGGUAAAAGCCCACCAAGGCGACGAUCUGUAGCUGGUCUGAGAGGACGACCAGCCACACUGGAACUGAGACACGGUCCAGACUCCUACGGGAGGCAGCAGUGGGGAAUUUUGGACAAUGGGCGCAAGCCUGAUCCAGCAAUGCCGCGUGCAGGAUGAAGGCCUUCGGGUUGUAAACUGCUUUUGUACGGAACGAAACGGUCUGCCCUAAUACGGUGGGCUAAUGACGGUACCGUAAGAAUAG